UAAGGAAUAUUGGUCAAUGGGGGCAACCCUGAACCAGCCAUGCCGCGUGCAGGAAGACGGCCCUACGGGUUGUAAACUGCUUUUAUACGGGAAUAAAUCUCGCUACGUGUAGUGAGUUGAAUGUACUGUAAGAAUAAGGAUCGGCUAACUCCGUGCCAGCAGCCGCGGUAAUACGGAGGAUCCAAGCGUUAUCCGGAUUUAUUGGGUUUAAAGGGUGCGUAGGCGGCCUAUUAAGUCAGGGGUGAAAGACGGUGGCUCAACCAUCGCAGUGCCCUUGAUACUGAUGGGCUUGAUUACACUUGAGGUAGGCGGAAUGUGACAAGUAGCGGUGAAAUGCAUAGAUAUGUCACAGAACACCAAUUGCGAAGGCAGCUUACUAAGGUGUCAAUGACGCUGAGGCACGAAAGCGUGGGGAUCAAACA
This 422-nucleotide ribosomal RNA is filed under the name uncultured bacterium. RNAcentral describes it as "bacterial SSU rRNA". It matches the Rfam family "Bacterial small subunit ribosomal RNA", at positions 355 to 774 of the family's 1533-position model. RNAcentral also lists the same sequence under 1 other name. The record is from RNAcentral.